GGGUCCUGCACAGGGACAUCAAACCAGGGAACAUCCUGGUGGACCUGGCCACCGGGCAGACCAAACUGAUCGACUUUGGCUGUGGCACCUACCUGCAAGACACAGCCUACACUCACUUUGCAGGAACACGGUCAUACAGCCCCCCAGAAUGGACACAAUUUGGCUGGUACCAUGGCGAGCCAGCUACCAUCUGGUCCCUGGGCAUCCUGCUGGAUGAGAUGGCCCGUGGAAAGCUGUCUUUCAGGAGGGGCUGGAACAUCAGCUGGGACCAUCAGCUCUCGCUGCCACAACAGCUCUAUCCAGAGUGCCAAAAUCUGAUCGGGUGGUGUUUAUCCAUGCACUCCUUGAGUAGACCCUCAUUAGAAGAGGUGUUCUGUCAUCCUUGGAUGCAGGAUAUUCAUCUGCCAUAGAAGAAGGGAGAGAGCCACAGGCACGCUUUGAUCCAAGGCCCUGCUGGGGCCCUGGGCAGAGCCCUGACAACCUGCUCUCACCCCAAGGAAGGAGAAGGAGCCGCUGGAGAAGCUGCACUGGGUGGGGAUGCUGCUGCUGCAGGAGACAGCAAGGAUUACAUCAAGGAUGACAACCUCUUCCUCCACCUGGCCACCAGCAGUUGAAGAGGAAGCAUUCUAGGUGGUCCAGUCUGGAUCGGGAAGUGCUUGGGAGCAGCUGCGGCGUGGAUGGGCCAUGCCCUUGGAGCAGGCUGAGGACAUCGUUUGGGACCAGCUUUUCUUCCA
Long non-coding RNA from Passer domesticus (house sparrow), 734 nucleotides. RefSeq lists it as uncharacterized. The transcript is spliced from 5 exons. The record is from RefSeq and is a predicted model, not a curated record. Lineage: Eukaryota; Metazoa; Chordata; Aves; Passeriformes; Passeridae.